Long non-coding RNA from Nothoprocta perdicaria, 532 nucleotides. RefSeq lists it as uncharacterized. Lineage: Eukaryota; Metazoa; Chordata; Aves; Tinamiformes; Tinamidae. The record is from RefSeq and is a predicted model, not a curated record. The transcript is spliced from 2 exons.
GAACUCAUUUCUUUUCAAUGUUUGGCUGCCAAAGAGAACAUGUUUACCGUACGCAGGAGCAAGGCAGAACAAGAAAAAGAAGUAGAUCAUGUAGGACCUGAGAAGAUUUUACCUAUCAACAUUAAAACAAAAAAGCAAAAUGUACCCAAGUGCAAAGUCCAUCAGGAAUCUGGGAACAAGUGGACACUCUAUAUGUAAAGAAAGGCUGAUGCCUAAAGUGAGGGGCAAACCUGGAAGCAAACAGCCUGGAACCGAAGUGGUCACACCGGCCUUUGGCAGGAGCCGAGGAGCUCCAGUUGAAUGGCAGGCAGCUACCUGGAAAUAAAAGACUCUGCUGUUUCCACAUGUUUACAUUGCGAUUUCCAAGAGCUCCUGAGCAAUUUAAAGUCCAUGAAAGGAAUGCACUAUAGAAUGAAAAAUACAGGUAUUAUUAAAGCAUGUCUCCAAACUGAAAGCUAGCCAGGUUCAUAAAAAGGAGUUAAAAGCAAUAACAGGUUUCUGCCUCCUGCUGGAUGCUGUAUGAGCCAUAUGU